Molecule: long non-coding RNA, 349 nt
Filed under: Triticum aestivum (bread wheat)
Lineage: Eukaryota; Viridiplantae; Streptophyta; Magnoliopsida; Poales; Poaceae
Description: long non-coding RNA (TAES_LNC028214)
Source: RNAcentral
AAACAAAUGGAAUUGCAACAGUAAUGUAAGCAGGAAAGUACUAGAAAGGGCAAAUAAAACUACAGACUUGCAUAGUGAAAUGUUUGCUUUUACAAAUCUUAUAGAAUAAUUUGUAUAGAUUAUGCAUUUAAUAUAGGCUUCAUGAAGAUGGGUAGAAAAAGAAGGUACUUCAACCACUUUGCAUAACAAGAUCACAAGCAGGAAAAAAUGAGGAGACAUUACAAAGUUUGUGGUGGAGAACAUGUGUAGCUUCAGCAGCACCAUGCAUGUCCACAAGCAAUAUGUGCCUAAUAGAUAUUAGCUCAUCUCAAUAUACUUUCUUAAGUUUCUAAUAUUUGACAAUAAAAAG